AACGCGAAGAACCUUACCUACCCUUGACAUCCUAGGAAUCUUUCAGAGAUGAGAGAGUGCCUUCGGGAACCUAGAGACAGGUGAUGCAUGGCUGUCGUCAGCUCGUGUCGUGAGAUGUUGGGUUAAGUCCCGUAACGAGCGCAACCCUCGUUCUUAGUUGCUAGCAGUUCGGCUGAGCACUCUAAGGAGACUGCCGGUGAUAAACCGGAGGAAGGCGGGGAUGACGUCAAGUCAUCAUGUCCCUUACGGGUAGGGCUACACACGUGCUACAAUGGGCAGUACAAAGGGUUGCCAAACCGCGAGGUGGAGCUAAUCCCAUAAAGCUGUUCGUAGUCCGGAUUGGAGUCUGCAACUCGACUCCAUGAAGUUGGAAUCGCUAGUAAUCGCAAAUCAGCAUGUUGCGGUGAAUACGUUCCCGGGCCUUGUACACACCGUAGUAC
This 440-nucleotide ribosomal RNA is filed under the name uncultured bacterium. RNAcentral's name for it is "bacterial SSU rRNA". It matches the Rfam family "Bacterial small subunit ribosomal RNA", at positions 958 to 1398 of the family's 1533-position model. The record is from RNAcentral.